AACGGAUAGGAAUCCUUAGUGGCGGACGGGUGAGUAACGCGUGAGGAACCUGCCUUGGAGAGGGGAAUAACACAGAGAAAUUUGUGCUAAUACCGCAUAACGCAGUCAUAUCGCAUGGUAAGACUGCCAAAGAUUUAUCGCUCUGAGAUGGCCUCGCGUCUGAUUAGCUUGUUGCGGGGUAACGGCCACCAAGGCGACGAUCAGUAGCCGGACUGAGAGGUCGGCCGGCCACAUUGGGACUGAGACACGGCCCAGACUCCUACGGGAGGCAGCAGUGGGGAAUAUUGGGCAAUGGGCGCAAGACCCUGACCCAGCAACGCCGCGUGAAGGAAGAAGGCUUUCGGGUUGUAAACUUCUUUUAUGUAGGACGAAGCAAGUGACGGUACUACAUGAAUAAGCUCCGGCUAACUACGUGCCAGCCGCUGC
Molecule: ribosomal RNA, 426 nt
Filed under: uncultured bacterium
Lineage: Bacteria
Description: bacterial SSU rRNA
Rfam family: Bacterial small subunit ribosomal RNA
Source: RNAcentral